UACCAGACUCCUACGGGAGGCAGCAGUGGGGAAUAUUGCACAAUGGGGGAAACCCUGAUGCAGCGACGCCGCGUGAAGGAAGAAGGCUUUCGGGUUGUAAACUUCUUUUGACAGGGAAGAGCAGAAGACGGUACCUGUCGAAUAAGCCACGGCUAACUACGUGCCAGCAGCCGCGGUAAUACGUAGGUGGCAAGCGUUGUCCGGAUUUACUGGGUGUAAAGGGCGUGUAGCCGGGCUGACAAGUCAGAUGUGAAAGCCCGGGGGCCAACCCCGGGACUGCUCUGGAAACUGCGGCGCUGGAGUGCGGGAGGGGCAGGCGGAAUUCCUGGUGUAGCGGUGAAAUGCGUAGAUAUCAGGAGGAACACCGGCGGCGAAGGCGGCCUGCUGGACCGUGACUGACGUUGAGGCUCGAGAGCGUGGGGAGCAAACAGGAUUAGAUACCCCCGUAA
Molecule: ribosomal RNA, 449 nt
Filed under: uncultured bacterium
Lineage: Bacteria
Description: bacterial SSU rRNA
Rfam family: Bacterial small subunit ribosomal RNA
Source: RNAcentral